RNAcentral lists this ribosomal RNA (2886 nucleotides) under Vibrio parahaemolyticus. RNAcentral's name for it is "23S ribosomal RNA". It matches the Rfam family "Bacterial large subunit ribosomal RNA". The record is from RNAcentral. Lineage: Bacteria; Pseudomonadati; Pseudomonadota; Gammaproteobacteria; Vibrionales; Vibrionaceae.
GGUUAAGUGACUAAGCGUACACGGUGGAUGCCUUGGCAGUCAGAGGCGAUGAAAGACGUAGUAACUUGCGAUAAGCCCAGAUUAGGUAGUAACAACCAUUUGAGUCUGGGAUUUCUGAAUGGGGAAACCCACUUACAUAAGUAAGUAUCAUUAACUGAAUACAUAGGUUAAUGAGGCGAACCGGGGAACUGAAACAUCUAAGUACCCCGAGGAAAAGAAAUCAACCGAGAUUCCGAAAGUAGCGGCGAGCGAAAUUGGACUAGCCCUUAAGCUUUACACGCGUUAGACGAACGGUCUGGAAAGUCCGACGAUACAGGGUGAUAGUCCCGUAGUUGACGACGUGUGUUCAGUGAAAUCGAGUAGGGCGGGACACGUGAUAUCCUGUCUGAAUAUGGGGGACCAUCCUCCAAGGCUAAAUACUACUGACUGACCGAUAGUGAACCAGUACCGUGAGGGAAAGGCGAAAAGAACCCCUGUGAGGGGAGUGAAAUAGAACCUGAAACCGUGUACGUACAAGCAGUAGGAGCAGGCUUUGUCCUGUGACUGCGUACCUUUUGUAUAAUGGGUCAGCGACUUAUAUUCAGUGGCAAGGUUAACCAUCUAGGGGAGCCGUAGGGAAACCGAGUCUUAACUGGGCGUUCAGUCUCUGGAUAUAGACCCGAAACCAGGUGAUCUAGCCAUGGGCAGGUUGAAGGUUGAGUAACAUCAACUGGAGGACCGAACCGACUAAUGUUGAAAAAUUAGCGGAUGACUUGUGGCUAGGGGUGAAAGGCCAAUCAAACCUGGAGAUAGCUGGUUCUCCCCGAAAGCUAUUUAGGUAGCGCCUCGGACGAAUACUACUGGGGGUAGAGCACUGUUAAGGCUAGGGGGUCAUCCCGACUUACCAACCCUUUGCAAACUCCGAAUACCAGUAAGUACUAUCCGGGAGACACACGGCGGGUGCUAACGUCCGUCGUGGAGAGGGAAACAACCCAGACCGCCAGCUAAGGUCCCAAAUUACUACUAAGUGGGAAACGAUGUGGGAAGGCUCAGACAGCCAGGAUGUUGGCUUAGAAGCAGCCAUCAUUUAAAGAAAGCGUAAUAGCUCACUGGUCGAGUCGGCCUGCGCGGAAGAUGUAACGGGGCUAAGUAGUAAACCGAAGCUGCGGCAAUGUGCUUUUGCACAUUGGGUAGGGGAGCGUUCUGUAAGCGGUUGAAGGUGUGUGGUAACGCAUGCUGGACGUAUCAGAAGUGCGAAUGCUGACAUGAGUAACGAUAAAGGGGUGAAAAACCUCCUCGCCGGAAGACCAAGGGUUCCUGUCCAACGUUAAUCGGGGCAGGGUAAGUCGACCCCUAAGGCGAGGCCGAAAGGCGUAGUCGAUGGGAAACGGGUUAAUAUUCCCGUACUUCUUACAAUUGCGAUGGGGGACGGAGAAGGCUAGGUGGGCCUGGCGACGGUUGUCCAGGUUCAAGUGCGUAGGCUUAAGAGUUAGGUAAAUCCGGCUCUUUCUAAGGCUGAGACACGACGUCGAGCACCUACGGGUGUGAAGUCAUUGAUGCCAUGCUUCCAGGAAAAGCCUCUAAGCUUCAGAUUGUAAGGAAUCGUACCCCAAACCGACACAGGUGGUCGGGUAGAGAAUACCAAGGCGCUUGAGAGAACUCGGGUGAAGGAACUAGGCAAAAUGGUACCGUAACUUCGGGAGAAGGUACGCUCUUGAUGGUGAAGUCCCUUGCGGAUGGAGCUGACGAGAGUCGCAGAUACCAGGUGGCUGCAACUGUUUAUUAAAAACACAGCACUGUGCAAAAUCGUAAGAUGACGUAUACGGUGUGACGCCUGCCCGGUGCCGGAAGGUUAAUUGAUGGGGUUAGACUUCGGUCGAAGCUCUUGAUCGAAGCCCCGGUAAACGGCGGCCGUAACUAUAACGGUCCUAAGGUAGCGAAAUUCCUUGUCGGGUAAGUUCCGACCUGCACGAAUGGCGUAAUGAUGGCCACGCUGUCUCCACCCGAGACUCAGUGAAAUUGAAAUCGCUGUGAAGAUGCAGUGUACCCGCGGCUAGACGGAAAGACCCCGUGAACCUUUACUACAGCUUGGCACUGAACAUUGACCCUACAUGUGUAGGAUAGGUGGGAGGCUUUGAAGCACGUACGCCAGUAUGUGUGGAGCCGUCCUUGAAAUACCACCCUUGUAGUGUUGAUGUUCUAACGUCGACCCCUAAUCGGGGUUGCGGACAGUGCCUGGUGGGUAGUUUGACUGGGGCGGUCUCCUCCCAAAGAGUAACGGAGGAGCACGAAGGUGGGCUAAUCACGGUUGGACAUCGUGAGGUUAGUGCAAUGGCAUAAGCCCGCUUGACUGCGAGAAUGACAAUUCGAGCAGGUGCGAAAGCAGGUCAUAGUGAUCCGGUGGUUCUGAAUGGAAGGGCCAUCGCUCAACGGAUAAAAGGUACUCCGGGGAUAACAGGCUGAUACCGCCCAAGAGUUCAUAUCGACGGCGGUGUUUGGCACCUCGAUGUCGGCUCAUCACAUCCUGGGGCUGAAGUCGGUCCCAAGGGUAUGGCUGUUCGCCAUUUAAAGUGGUACGCGAGCUGGGUUUAGAACGUCGUGAGACAGUUCGGUCCCUAUCUGCCGUGGGCGUUGGAAGAUUGAAGGGGCUGCUCCUAGUACGAGAGGACCGGAGUGGACGAACCUCUGGUGUUCGGGUUGUGUCGCCAGACGCAUUGCCCGGUAGCUAAGUUCGGAAUCGAUAACCGCUGAAAGCAUCUAAGCGGGAAGCGAGCCCUGAGAUGAGUCUUCCCUGAUACUUUAAGUAUCCUAAAGGGUUGUCGGAGACUACGACGUUGAUAGGUCAGGUGUGUAAGUGCUGUGAGGCAUUGAGCUAACUGAUACUAAUUGCCCGUGAGGCUUAACCAU